AAGCUAGCCAAUGAAUCUGCUUACCUAAACAUGUUUCUGCAGAAAUUUUUAUUUUAAAAAGCUGGUAAUAGUAAAGCCAUUUAUGAGCCUUAAGUAUAUUGAAGUUGUUAAGAUCCCUGAAAAUGGCUAUAACA
Small nucleolar RNA from Gorilla gorilla gorilla (western lowland gorilla), 134 nucleotides. Lineage: Eukaryota; Metazoa; Chordata; Mammalia; Primates; Hominidae. The record is from Ensembl.